RNAcentral lists this long non-coding RNA (302 nucleotides) under Mytilus galloprovincialis (Mediterranean mussel). The record is from RNAcentral. Lineage: Eukaryota; Metazoa; Mollusca; Bivalvia; Mytilida; Mytilidae.
ACUUGGAUGGAGAGUUGUCUCAUUGGCACUCAUACCACAUCUCCCUAUAUCUAUGUGCACUAAGUUUCAAGUUGAUGUGAGCACAAACUAUCUAAAACCAAAUAGUAAGUCUCUGAUUUUGAACAAACAGACAAACAGACUGAUCAACGGACCCAAAGACCCGGCACAUUUUUUCUUCUCUUUCAGCUAUAUUUUCUGGACAAAGAUUUUAUUCUUCCAAUGUGGACAACUGUUGAUAUUCUACUCAGGACAAAUCUAAUAGAACUCUUAUCAAUAUAUGUAAUUACCCAAACCAAAUGAAG